This 245-nucleotide ribosomal RNA is filed under the name uncultured bacterium. RNAcentral's name for it is "partial 16S ribosomal RNA". It matches the Rfam family "Bacterial small subunit ribosomal RNA", at positions 109 to 354 of the family's 1533-position model. The record is from RNAcentral.
AGUAACGCGUGGAUAACCUGCCUCACACAGGGGGAUAACAGUUAGAAAUGACUGCUAAUACCGCAUAAGCGCACAGUCUCGCAUGGGACAGUGUGAAAAACUGAGGUGGUGUGAGAUGGAUCCGCGUCUGAUUAGGCAGUUGGCGGGGUAACGGCCCACCAAACCGACGAUCAGUAGCCGGCCUGAGAGGGCGAACGGCCACAUUGGGACUGAGACACGGCCCAAACUCCUACGGAAGGCAGCAG